UUGAACGCUGGCGGCAUGCCUUACACAUGCAAGUCGAACGGCAGCACGGGAGCAAUCCUGGUGGCGAGUGGCGAACGGGUGAGUAAUGUAUCGGAACGUACCUUUCAGUGGGAGAUAACGUAGCGAAAGUUACGCUAAUACCGCAUAUUCUGUGUGCAGGAAAGCAGGGGAUCGCAAGACCUUGCGCUGAUUGAGCGGCCGAUAUCAGAUUAGCUAGUUGGUGAGGUAAAGGCUCACCAAGGCGACGAUCUGUAGCGGGUCUGAGAGGAUGAUCCGCCACACUGGAACUGAGACACGGUCCAGACUCCUACGGGAGGCAGCAGUGGAGAAUUUUGGACAAUGGGGGCAACCCUGAUCCAGCCAUGCCGCGUGAGUGAAGAAGGCCUUUGGGUUGUAAAGCUCUUUCGGCCGGGAAGAAAUCGCAUGGGUUAAUACCCUGUGCGGAUGACGGUACCGGCAUAAGAAGCACCGGCUAACUACGUG
Molecule: ribosomal RNA, 483 nt
Filed under: uncultured bacterium
Lineage: Bacteria
Description: bacterial SSU rRNA
Rfam family: Bacterial small subunit ribosomal RNA
Source: RNAcentral